UACGUAGGGGGCAAGCGUUGUCCGGAUUUAUUGGGCGUAAAGAGCGUGUAGGCGGCCAGGUAGGUCCGUUGUGAAAACUCGAGGCUCAACCUCGAGCUGUCGGUGGAAACCACAUGGCUAGAGUCCGGAAGAGGAGAGUGGAAUUCCUGGUGUAGCGGUGAAAUGCGCAGAUAUCAGGAAGAACACCCGUGGCGAAGGCGGCUCUCUGGGACGGUACUGACGCUGAGACGCGAAAGCGUGGGGAGCGAACAGG
RNAcentral lists this ribosomal RNA (253 nucleotides) under uncultured bacterium. RNAcentral's name for it is "partial 16S ribosomal RNA". It matches the Rfam family "Bacterial small subunit ribosomal RNA", at positions 524 to 776 of the family's 1533-position model. The record is from RNAcentral.